This 469-nucleotide long non-coding RNA is filed under the name Sorghum bicolor (sorghum). RNAcentral's name for it is "long non-coding RNA (SBIC_LNC013104)". The record is from RNAcentral. Lineage: Eukaryota; Viridiplantae; Streptophyta; Magnoliopsida; Poales; Poaceae.
CAAGUGGUAUCAGAGCCUCGUUACUUCAGAUACGCUUCACCGCGUGAAGUAUGAAGUUGGAGGAGGUUCGAGAUCCGCCCGAGAACCAAAGGAUGAUGUAAUUGUCGAGGAUACAAGCAGUGGUAGUGAAAUGUCACUGUCCACAGCAAGCAAUGCCACCCUCAAAGAUGACAAGACCACUGAUGCGGAAAGAAAGAAAGAAAGAAAAGAAAAACAAGAAGAGAAGCAAGGAGAAAAGCUAAAGAAGAACAACAAAAGCAUGAUGAGAAGCUGAAGAGAAAAGAAGAAAGAAAGCGCAUACGCGAAGAAAGAGCAAAAAGAAGAGCUGCAAGAACAAAGCAAGAAGAAAAGAAGAUCUAUGAUGCAUCUUCUAGUGAGCUAUCUAGUAGCUCGGAAGAUGGUGAUGAUGAUGCAUCAUAUCACAUUUCCAAGGAACAAGAGAAGAACAAGAAAAAGGCAAACAAGGACA